Molecule: ribosomal RNA, 323 nt
Filed under: Coptotettix huanjiangensis
Lineage: Eukaryota; Metazoa; Arthropoda; Insecta; Orthoptera; Tetrigidae
Description: partial 12S ribosomal RNA
Source: RNAcentral
CAGGUUAGUAGAGUUUUUCUUGAAAUCUAAAGAAUUUGGCGGCAUUUUAUCUUUAUAGGGGAACCUGUUCUUUAAAUGAUAAUACACGUUUGGCUCUAUUAAUCGUUAAGGUUUGUAUAUUUCCGUUAUAAGGGGAUUUAUAGAUAAUAUUUCCUUGUUUUUUAAUUAAACUUAAUUUCAGGUCAAGGUGCAGCUUAUAGAUUAAUUUGAAAUGGGUUACAAUAUUUUAAUAUAUACGGAUAUUUUUUUUUAAUUUUAGAUUGAAGGUGGAUUUAUUAGUAAGUAUUCAUAAUUAUGAGUGCUGAAUUAGCUCUAGUUUGUGC